RNAcentral lists this ribozyme (99 nucleotides) under Aedes aegypti (yellow fever mosquito). RNAcentral's name for it is "drz-agam-1 ribozyme". It matches the Rfam family "drz-agam-1 ribozyme". Lineage: Eukaryota; Metazoa; Arthropoda; Insecta; Diptera; Culicidae. The record is from Rfam by way of RNAcentral.
UGCCCAGCAACUCCUAUCCCUUCUUCCUCGCGGUUCUGGCCAGGGAAGAUCGGGUAACCAAUCCCGGUGGGAACUCUGGUCGUAUGCUGACAGGGAAGG